RNAcentral lists this unclassified non-coding RNA (347 nucleotides) under soil metagenome. RNAcentral's name for it is "partial contains 5.8S ribosomal RNA, internal transcribed spacer 2, and large subunit ribosomal RNA". The stretch from base 1 to 120 matches the Rfam family "5.8S ribosomal RNA", at positions 35 to 154 of the family's 154-position model. The record is from RNAcentral.
GAUGAAGAACGCAGUGAAAUGCGAUAAGUAAUGUGAAUUGCAGAAUUCAGUGAAUCAUCGAAUCUUUGAACGCACAUUGCGCCCGCUGGUAUUCCGGCGGGCAUGCCUGUUCGAGCGUCAUUUCAACCCUCAAACCCCCCGGGUUUGGUGUUGGGGAUCGGCUCUGCCUCACGGCGGUGCCGCCCCCGAAAUACAUUGGCGGUCUCGCUGCAGCCUCCAUUGCGUAGUAGCUAACACCUCGCAACUGGAACGCGGCGCGGCCAUGCCGUAAAACCCCAACUUCUGAAUGUUGACCUCGGAUCAGGUAGGAAUACCCGCUGAACUUAAGCAUAUCAAUAAGCGGAGGA